This 207-nucleotide ribosomal RNA is filed under the name uncultured bacterium. RNAcentral's name for it is "partial 16S ribosomal RNA". It matches the Rfam family "Bacterial small subunit ribosomal RNA", at positions 1294 to 1500 of the family's 1533-position model. The record is from RNAcentral.
CGGAUUGUAGGCUGCAACUCGCCUACAUGAAGUCGGAAUUGCUAGUAAUCGCGGAUCAGCAUGCCGCGGUGAAUACGUUCCCGGGCCUUGUACACACCGCCCGUCACACCAUGGGAGUCGGUAACACCCGAAGCCUGUAGUCUAACCGCAAGGGGGACGCAGUCGAAGGUGGGAUUGAUGACUGGGGUGAAGUCGUAACAAGGUACC